UCAAAGCUCGUUAAGACUAGAUGG
This 24-nucleotide non-coding RNA is filed under the name Arabidopsis thaliana (thale cress). The record is from RNAcentral. Lineage: Eukaryota; Viridiplantae; Streptophyta; Magnoliopsida; Brassicales; Brassicaceae.